CAUGUAACAUUAUAUUAGUUUCAGGUGUACAAUAUGAUUAUUUGGCAUUUGUAGGGAUAAACUUAUUUUUAAACAAUAUGUAAAUUAUAUUUUGAAACAGUAUGUUCCAGAAUGUGUUUUCAGAUAAAAAAAUUUCUAAAUGUAAAGCAAUGUAUUUAGUGGUUAAUCUGGAAAAAAAUACAGUUACUAAACAUAUAUACUAACAGUGUCCAAAAAGUCUAGAAACAUGGGUAAAAUAAGAUAUGUGUUGUACUUUUUUAGAUUAAUAAUUGGACAUAUUGCUUUGCAUUUAGAAGUACUUCACCUAAGGGGUGCCUGGGUGGCUCAGUCGGUUAAGCGGCCGACUUUGGCUCAGGUCAUGAUCUUGCGGUCCGUGGGUUCGAGCCCCGCGUCGGGCUCUGUGCUGACAGCUCAGAGCCUGGAGCCUGUUUCAGAUUCUGUGUCUCCCUCUCUCUGACCCUCCCCCGUUCAUGCUCUGUCUCUCUCUGUCUCAAAAAUAAAAAAACGUUAAAAAAAAAAAAAAAAAAAAAAAAAAAAAAAGAAGUACUUCACCUAAAAUGUGUCUGGAGGCUGAAGAAAAGUACACCAAACAAAAUAUUAUAAAAUACAGCUAACACACAGUAUAAAAAUAAGUUUAUAUUUUUCCAGCCUCAUGGACAUACUAUAUUAUACAGUACAUAAGCCACUCAAUCUCUUUUACUAUAAUGAAUGAAUGAGCAAAAUUCCAAUAAGACAGUCUCUGAGACUAAGUUUUUUGUGAGAACUCCAAUAUGAUGUAUAACUUGGUAAAGGAUGUCAAUGUUGCUCUGUAAAGGCUUCCUAGGUUCUUGGUGGUAAACCUAUAGCAUCAUAACACGUGUAUGGAUUGGUGUUAAAGUAGCAGCUAAGGUGUGAAUCCAAUCACUGGAUAUUGUGGAAAACUUAAAUAAGAUUAUUGUCCUCAGGGAAAGUGGCUAAUAUUAGUUUCCCUUUUCUUUAUCAGGGACACCUCUUCGUAGAAAAAAAAUAAGGGAGGAGCACCUGGGUGGCUCAGUCAUGUUAACAUUGAGCUUGGAACUGUUUCAUGUGUGUUUCAAAGAGUUGAAUAGUCUGCCAGUAGGAUUCUGGGAAACACUACUUUUACAAGAAAGUGACCUACAAGCCUCAAGAAAGUGGUAAAGAAGGAAAAGCCAAGGAUAAUAUGUGACCAGCAGCAGCAACAUGCUCUUGUUUCAGUAAUACCCAGGCUGGUGAACAAGUACAGACUGGCUAGUGACUGGCCCACAUCAAUCAAGGACACUUUAAUCUUUCUAAAGGGAUGAAAAAUGAUUGGCGAUGCUUCUCUGAAUUAUUUUGAAAUAUUUCUGUAGAAAGAAACAGAGAAAUGCACAUGGUGUGAAUAGAAGAUGGAAAAACCAGUUUGAUGGGGGAAAAUGAGAAGAAUGUGAGAGCACUCCCUACUGGAGCAGAGGAAGGAGAACAGAGAGGCUCUGGGUCGGAAUGCCUGUGGCACAAUUGUGCUUCAGUCUAGUCCCGUUGAACACAUUAACAUGAAGUCUGUUUGUAUAUUCCCAAUUGCUAUGUGGCCAAGAACAAGUAAGUUUAUGUAAUGUUCCAAAGAAACAGCUCGACACCGUGGCUCAUUUUAACCCAGAUAGUGUGAGCCUUCACAAACUCUUCCUUGUAUCCUAUGCCUGCUGGAGUACUGGACAGACUCCACUCACUCACUGUGCACCUCGGUGGAAACUAACAAACAAUACAGUCACUGUCAGUAGAUGUUGCCUCCUCAGCGUACAGAGCCAAAAAAAAUUAUGGAAAAAUGUGUAUUAACAAUUUAAAAAGAGAAAAAUCUAUAUCUGAGCCCAACAGAAGAAUACACAGCAUGUCAGAUAACACUAAAGCCAGUAAGUUGAA
Molecule: long non-coding RNA, 1893 nt
Organism: Panthera uncia (snow leopard)
Lineage: Eukaryota; Metazoa; Chordata; Mammalia; Carnivora; Felidae
Exons: 7
Source: RefSeq, a predicted model, not a curated record